AUGGAAGCAGUAACCUUGUCCGCCGUCUCCAUCGGGGCGACCAAUGACAAGGAGGCGCAACGAAGGUCAAUCGCUCCGACAGAUGCGCCCGACGCCGCCGAUUGGUCUGGCCUGCUGCAGGACCUCCUGCUGGCCAUCAUGGCGGCGCUGGAUGUCCCCAGCCUCGUCCGUUCCGGCGCCGUCUGCACGUCCUGGCGGGACGCCUACAGCACCUUCCGCCUCCCCGCGCUGAAGCAAGCGCCGUGCCUGCUCUACGCCUGCGACGAGUACGGACCCAAGGAGGCCGCCCUGUACUGCCCCUCCACCAACGCCACCUUCCGUGUCCCCUUCCCCGGCCCACCGCACGAGAAGCGAGGCUUCGUCUUCUCGUGCCACGGCUGGGUGUUCGCUGCCGAUGAAGUCGGCGACCCGUACCUCUUCAACCCCAUCACCGGCGUCCAGGCCGCGCUCCCGCCGGUCAAGACGCUCUCGGGCCGCGACGAGGACUUCUACGACGAUGAAGGCAAGCAUGUCAUCGACCCCGGGAGUGAUGACGAGAACGAAGACCAGAAAACCAGCAUCCUCUGGGCACGAGAUUCAGAGUAUAUCCGGGUCGCCAUCUCCUCCGCAGCCGAGGUGACUGCAUGCACUGUCCUGAUCAUGCACAAUCCAGAUUCGAUGCUCUCGUUUGCCAAGCCGGGCGAUAAGCGGUGGACAUUGCUCCCCAACCUUCAAACACGUCAAACCGGUGGUGUCAGUGAUGUUCUUUACAACGAUAAGGACGGCCUGUUCUAA
RNAcentral lists this ribosomal RNA (774 nucleotides) under Triticum aestivum (bread wheat). RNAcentral describes it as "partial small subunit ribosomal RNA". The record is from RNAcentral. Lineage: Eukaryota; Viridiplantae; Streptophyta; Magnoliopsida; Poales; Poaceae.